UACAGAGGUCUCAAGCGUUGUUCGGAUUCAUUGGGCGUAAAGGGUGCGUAGGCGGCGCGGUAAGUCGGGUGUGAAAUCUCGGGGCUUAACUCCGAAACUGCAUUCGAUACUGCCGUGCUUGAGGACUGGAGAGGAGACUGGAAUUUACGGUGUAGCGGUGAAAUGCGUAGAUAUCGUAAGGAAGACCAGUGACGAAGGCGGGUCUCUGGACAGUUCCUGACGCUGAGGCACGAAGGUCAGGGGAGCAAACGGG
RNAcentral lists this ribosomal RNA (253 nucleotides) under uncultured bacterium. RNAcentral's name for it is "partial 16S ribosomal RNA". It matches the Rfam family "Bacterial small subunit ribosomal RNA", at positions 524 to 776 of the family's 1533-position model. The record is from RNAcentral.